GAUGAACGCUAGCUACAGGCUUAACACAUGCAAGUCGAGGGGAAACGGCAUCGAAAGCUUGCUUUUGAUGGGCGUCGACCGGCGCACGGGUGAGUAACGCGUAUCCAACCUGCCCAUCACUUGGGAAUAACCUUGCGAAAGUAAGACUAAUGCCCAAUGACAUCCCACGAAGGCAUCCGAAUGGGACUAAGGAUUUAUCGGUGAUGGAUGGGGAUGUGUCUGAUUAGCUUGUUGGCGAGGUGACGGCCCACCAAGGCAACGAUCAGUAGGGGUUCUGAGAGGAACGUCCCCGACAGGGGAACUGGCACACGUUCCAAACACCUACGGGAGGGAGCAGUGAGGAAGAUUGGUCAAGGGGCGAGAGCCUGAACCAGCCAAGUAUCGUGCAGGAUGGCGGCCCUAUGGGUUGUAAACUGCUUUUAGAAGGGAGUAAAGUGGGUCACGUGUGACUUUUUGCAUGUACCUUAUGAAUAAGGACCGGCUAAUUCCGUG
RNAcentral lists this ribosomal RNA (492 nucleotides) under uncultured bacterium. RNAcentral's name for it is "partial 16S ribosomal RNA". It matches the Rfam family "Bacterial small subunit ribosomal RNA", at positions 28 to 507 of the family's 1533-position model. The record is from RNAcentral.